AGCCCUGCGGUGUCCGACAUAUAAGAUUGCAAAUCCUGAGUAGCAGAUUAACCCCUGCCGGGGCUU
This 66-nucleotide transfer RNA is filed under the name Gobiomorus dormitor (bigmouth sleeper). Its description in RNAcentral is "tRNA-Cys". The record is from RNAcentral. Lineage: Eukaryota; Metazoa; Chordata; Actinopteri; Gobiiformes; Eleotridae.